RNAcentral lists this long non-coding RNA (1152 nucleotides) under Pogona vitticeps (central bearded dragon). Its description in RNAcentral is "lncRNA (ENSPVIG00000005468.1)". Lineage: Eukaryota; Metazoa; Chordata; Lepidosauria; Squamata; Agamidae. The record is from RNAcentral.
UUUCUGCUAAUGUGCCAACACCUGAAUAUCUGAAGCAGCUGCUUUCUUCUACUGUUCCCAGAAUCACGGAAUCACAGAGUUGGAAGAGACCACAGGGGCCAUUGAGUCCAACCCCCUGCCAUGCGGGAACUCCAUCAAAGCACACCCGACAGGUGGCCAUCCAGCCUCUGCUUAAAAAUCUCCAAAGAAGGAGACUCCACCACACUCCGAGACAGCAUAUUCCACUGCUGACCAGCUCUGACUGUCAGGAAGUUCUUCCUGAGAGUCAGGUGGGAUCUCUUUUCCUGUAGUUUGAAACCAUUGCUCCUUGUCCUAGUGUCUGGAGCUGUGGAAAACAAACCUGUCCCUUCCUCGACGUGACAUCCCUUCAAAUAUUUUUAAACAUGGCUAUCAUGUCCCUUCUUAACCUUCUUUUUGUACAGCUAAACAUUCCCAGCUCCCUAAGCCGCUCUUCAUAGGACAUGGCUUCCAGACCUUUGACCAUUUUGGUCACCCUCCUCUGGACACAUUCCAGGUGGUCAACAUCCUUCUUGAAUUGAAGGAACCGUCCAAACAGAGGUUGUACAAAUGUGACCCCAAUCCUUCCUGGAAGAACAAUCCAACAUGAGUUAGAGAAUGAGCUAGAAGAUGAAUAUCCAUUCUUGGAGCUAAACUGCUGACCCGCCUGCAGGUCUUCUGAAUCUCUGCAGAACAAUUAAUCAGGAUGCUUCCCUACUGCUCCUCCUCAGGGAGCAGGCAGACCGUCGGUCACAAUGUUGUGCAUGUCUACAGAGAGCAAAAGGAACAAUCAGCAGCAACACCAAACAUUUGGAAAGAAGGUAAUUACAAAGGUGGUGGCUCUGGAGAAAAUAUGUGGUAGCUAUCACAUGAGCCAGACUAAAUUAUGAGAGGAAAUCGAGCUCCAAUAACUUAAAUCUGCUUUUUGGCAGGGGAGAGGCAGAAGCAAGAGACUAGACUGUUCCACUUCAAAGCAAUUUGUGACCUACUGACACAAAACAUUUAUUUUGAUGUUAUGAAGAAAUUGUCAUUUGAAGAAACAUGAAGAGGUAAAACUUUUCAUGGUUGGGAACUAUGUUGCAGCUAGAGCACAGAAAGUUAUUUUAAAAGAGCCAGUUAUAGUUACAUUUUCAAGGGUUUCAAAGUAGUUGCUGU